AACGAACGCUGGCGGCAGGCCUAACACAUGCAAGUCGAAUGCCGUAGCAAUACGGAGUGGCAGACGGGUGAGUAACGCGUGGGAACAUACCCUUCGGUUCGGAACAACUCAGGGAAACUUGAGCUAAUACCGGAUACGUGCGAGAGCAGAAAGAUUCAUCGCCGAAGGAUUGGCCCGCGUUCGAUUAGCUAGUUGGUGAGGUAACGGCUCACCAAGGCGACGAUCGAUAGCUGGUCUGAGAGGAUGAUCAGCCACAUUGGGACUGAGACACGGCCCAAACUCCUACGGGAGGCAGCAGUGGGGAAUAUUGGACAAUGGGCGCAAGCCUGAUCCAGCCAUGCCGCGUGAGUGAUGAAGGCCCUAGGGUUGUAAGCUCUUUCGUCAGGGACGAUAAUGACGGUACCU
This 405-nucleotide ribosomal RNA is filed under the name uncultured bacterium. Its description in RNAcentral is "bacterial SSU rRNA". It matches the Rfam family "Bacterial small subunit ribosomal RNA", at positions 29 to 480 of the family's 1533-position model. The record is from RNAcentral.